Molecule: microRNA precursor, 91 nt
Organism: Chrysemys picta bellii (western painted turtle)
Lineage: Eukaryota; Metazoa; Chordata; Testudines; Emydidae
Source: Ensembl
UACUGAUUUUUAGUUCAUGUAAACAUCCUACACUCAGCUAUAAAACAUAGAACGGCUGGGAGGUGGAUGUUUACUUCAACUGACUUGGAAA